This is a long non-coding RNA of Maniola jurtina (meadow brown), 979 nucleotides long. RefSeq lists it as uncharacterized. The transcript is spliced from 5 exons. The record is from RefSeq and is a predicted model, not a curated record. NCBI's taxonomy places the organism in Eukaryota, Metazoa, Arthropoda, Insecta, Lepidoptera, Nymphalidae.
CUUCAUAGAGUAAACUUGUGCGCUAAUAUUUCUUUGCUAAAUUCAAUGCUACUUUGCUUUAACUGGACACCGACGGACCCGCUUUUUAUUGUUGACCCACGCUAUAUUCACUGGAUUUUGUUUGCCUUUCUAUUUGGUUACUGCCGACCCUAUAAACACACUGCAGUCUUUGCUGCCGACGAUGCCGCAUAAUUUGACUAUAAAAUGUUGCGUACCAAACUGCGGCAAAACACGAUUGGAUGGAACAAUCUUACACAUUUUUCCCAAUCCUGAAAAAGACCCUGACCGGUUUCGGACUUGGCUCUAUGCAAUUGGUGGAGAUAUACUGGCAUUGGAAAACAAGACCAUUUUUAAGUAUCGGAGAGUAUGUCAUCAACAUUUUCAAUCUCGGUUCUACACUACAAGCAAUAGGUUAUGUGCUAACGCUGUGCCAACACUAAAUUAACCAGGAUUUCAUGUAACACGUAGGACACCUCUGCAAGAAGUUACUAAUAUAAACGUUGAAAUAAGUCAGGCAGAAAAAGCUGAAGAGAUCAAUAUGUGCAAGCCAUCUUCUAGCAAAAAAAAACCUGGCAAUGUAAAAAUCAAACAACCUGUCUUGAAACGUUCUGUUAAAUGUGGUUCUUCCGAGUCUAAUGAAAUAACUUUUCUUAAGCAAAAAAUUAAGAAGAUAGAGAGAAGUAAGGACAACUAUUUGAAAAAAUGGAAGAAAGCUCUUAAAAUAACGGAGAAUCCAUCAUUUUUAAAAGCUACAAGAAAUUUCACUUCUGCUGCAAUGAUUCUACUCAUGAUGCAGUUAACCCAAACAAAUAAAGAUAAAUUUGGACGGAGAUACUCCAAAGAGGAAAAAAUAUUUUCUCUAGCAUUUUAUAAGAUGGGUCCUAGAGCAUACAGAUGGCUACGGAACAUGAUAGUUUUACCUGCCCCAGUAACAUUAAGUCGCAUGAUUUCAAGAGCAAAUUUAAAACCAGGUGUGAAU